Molecule: ribosomal RNA, 517 nt
Filed under: uncultured bacterium
Lineage: Bacteria
Description: bacterial SSU rRNA
Rfam family: Bacterial small subunit ribosomal RNA
Source: RNAcentral
AGGCAGCAGUGAGGAAUAUUGCGCAAUGGGGGAAACCCUGACGCAGCAACGCCGCGUGUGGGAAGAAGGCCUUCGGGUCGUAAACCACUUUUGCACGGGACGAAAAAGGGAUAUCGAACAAAUAUCCCCGAUGACGGUACCGUGAGAAUAAGCCACGGCUAACUCUGUGCCAGCAGCCGCGGUAAGACAGAGGUGGCAAGCGUUGUUCGGAAUUACUGGGCGUAAAGAGUCUGUAGGUGGUUUGUCAAGUCUUUGGUGAAAGGCCGUAGCUUAACUAUGGGAAUGCCAAAGAGACUGGCAGGCUGGAGGCUGGGAGAGGGAAGCGGAAUUUCUGGUGUAGCGGUGAAAUGCGUAGAUAUCAGAAGGAAGGCCGGUGGCGAAGGCGGCUUCCUGGAACAGUCCUGACACUGAGAGACGAAAGCGUGGGGAGCAAACAGGAUUAGAUACCCUGGUAGUCCACGCCCUAAACGAUGGGUACUAAGUGUGGAGGGGUUAAACCCUCCGUGCCGCAGCAAAC